RNAcentral lists this long non-coding RNA (1462 nucleotides) under Mus spicilegus (steppe mouse). Its description in RNAcentral is "lncRNA (ENSMSIG00000006568.1)". Lineage: Eukaryota; Metazoa; Chordata; Mammalia; Rodentia; Muridae. The record is from RNAcentral.
AGCCUGUGGCAGUACUGGUACUUGGAGUACAGCUUAUGCCAUAUAUGGUGCCCCAUGUAUGGACUAUGUCAAUAAUGGUGACUGGUAUACAGCCCGUGCCUACCCCUAUGCCACAUGUGCAGCCUAUGGCAGUCAUUGUGCUUUGGGCACAGCCCAUGCCCACUCCUGUGCCACAUGUGCAGCCUAUGGCAGUUAUUGUGCUUUGGGCACACACCAUGCACAUUCCUGUGCCACAUGCACAGCGUAUGCCAAUCAGUAGACCCUGGGCACAGCCCAUGCCCGCUCCUGUGCCACAUGCGCAGCCUAUGGCAGUCAUUGUGCUUUGGGCACAGUCUAUGCCCAUUUCUGUGCCACGUGCACAGUGUAUGCCAAUCAGUAGGCCCUGGGCACAGCCCAUGCCCACUCCUGUGCUACAUGUGCAGCCUAUGGCAGUUAUUGUGCUUUGGGCACAACCCAUGCCCAUUCCUGUGCCACAUGCACAGCGUAUGCCAAUCAGUAGACCCUGGGCACAGCCCAUGCCCACUCCUGUGCCACAUGCACAGCCUAUGGCAGUCAUUGUGCUUUGGGCACAGUCUAUGCCCAUUCCUGUGCCACAUGCACAGCAUAUGCCAAUCAGUAGGCCCUGGGCACAGCCCAUGCCCACUCCUGUGCCACAUGUGCAGUCUAUGGCAGUCAUUGUGCUUUGGGCACAGCCCAUUCCUGUUCCCAAUUUACAGCCUGUUCUAAUCAGUAGGCCCUGGGCACAGCCUAUGCCCAUUCCUGUGCCCCAUGUACAGCAUAUGCCAGUCACUGUCCCAUGGGCACAACCUGUACCAGCUAAGAUACCUAGCAUACCACAUAUGCCAAUGCCUACCGCACAGCCUAUGCCAGUCAGGGUGGCUUGUGUACAGCCCAUACCUCUUACAGUGCCCCGGGUGCAGUCUAUGCCAUAUUCAGUGAGCAAUAUGCAGCCUGUGCCAGUUACAAUGCCCCAUGUACAAUCAAUGCGAGUUACAGUGCCUCAUGCAUGGCCUAUGCCAGCUACAAUACCCCAUGAACAACCUGUGCCAGUUACAAUGCCCCAUGUACAAUCAAUGCGAGCUACAGUACCUCAUGUACGGCCUAUGCCAGCUACAAUACCCCACGUACAACCUGUGCCAGUUACAAUGCCCCAUGUACAAUCUAUGCGAGUUACAGUACCUCAUGCACGGCCUAUGCCAGCUACAAUACAACCUGUACAACCUGUGCCAGUUAUGAUGCCCUGUGCACAGCCUAUGCCUGUUUCAGUGUCCAAUGUACAGCCCGUGUCAGAGCUGGUGCCCCACCACGACCUCUGCCUACGUGACGGAUUUACAGGGCUGCAGCUGCAGGAGCUGGAACAGGUUUUCCAGAGAAACCACUAUCUCCGUGCUGAAGAAGGGUAAGCACAUAGUGUGGCGUCAGUGCUUUAAGGAGGGAGCAAGCUGGUACAGAGAGGCCUCUG